This 148-nucleotide non-coding RNA is filed under the name Nomascus leucogenys (northern white-cheeked gibbon). Lineage: Eukaryota; Metazoa; Chordata; Mammalia; Primates; Hylobatidae. The record is from Rfam by way of RNAcentral.
GCCAGGUGUGGUGUUGUGCGCCUGUAAUCCCAGCUACUAGGGAGGCUGAGAUAGAAGAAUCACUUGAACCCAGGAGGUGGAGGUUGCAGUGAGCCAAUAUGGCACCACUGCACUCCCACCUGGGCAACAGAGCGAGACUCCAUCUCAA